RNAcentral lists this ribosomal RNA (458 nucleotides) under uncultured bacterium. Its description in RNAcentral is "partial 16S ribosomal RNA". It matches the Rfam family "Bacterial small subunit ribosomal RNA", at positions 338 to 795 of the family's 1533-position model. The record is from RNAcentral.
CCUACGGGAGGCAGCAGUGAGGAAUAUUGGUCAAUGGGCGAGAGCCUGAACCAGCCAAGUCGCGUGAGGGAGUACUGCCCUAUGGGUUGUAAACCUUUUUUGUCGGGGAGCAAAAUCCGGACGCGUCUGGCUGUUAGAUUACCCGAACAAACAGCAUCGGCUAACUCCGUCCCAGCAGCCGCGGAAAUACGGAGGCUGCGAGCGUUAUCCGGAUUUAUUGGGUUUAAAGGGUGCGCAGGCGGAUUUUUAAUGCAGCGGUAAAGUCGUGGGGCUCAACCCCGACCUGCCGUUGAAACUGGUGAGCUAGAGUGUGCGAGAGGUAAGCGGAAUGCGUGGUGUAGCGGUGAAAUGCGUAGAUAUCACGCAGAACCCCAGUUGCGAAGGCAACAUACCGGUGCACAACUGACGCUCAGGCGCGAAAGCGUGGGUAGCGAACAGGAUUAGAUACCCGUGUAGUC